CAGCAGCUGCUGCUUGCACCCGCUGCUGGCGCUAGCCCCAAUCACUUUGUGUUGUCAGUGGGUGCGAGCAGGGCAGGCGCUG
Non-coding RNA from Eptesicus fuscus (big brown bat), 82 nucleotides. NCBI's taxonomy places the organism in Eukaryota, Metazoa, Chordata, Mammalia, Chiroptera, Vespertilionidae. The record is from RefSeq and is marked provisional.